RNAcentral lists this ribosomal RNA (497 nucleotides) under uncultured bacterium. RNAcentral describes it as "partial 16S ribosomal RNA". It matches the Rfam family "Bacterial small subunit ribosomal RNA", at positions 28 to 507 of the family's 1533-position model. The record is from RNAcentral.
GAUGAACGCUGGCGGCGUGCCUAAUACAUGCAAGUCGAGCGAACAGACGAGGAGCUUGCUCCUCUGACGUUAGCGGCGGACGGGCGAGUAACACGUGGAUAACCUACCUAUAAGACUGGGAUAACUUCGGGAAACCGGAGCUAAUACCGGAUAAUAUAUUGAACCGCAUGGUUCAAUAGUGAAAGACGGUUUUGCUGUCACUUAUAGAUGGAUCCGCGCCGCAUUAGCUAGUUGGUAAGGUAACGGCUUACCAAGGCAACGAUGCGUAGCCGACCUGAGAGGGUGAUCGGCCACACUGGAACUGAGACACGGUCCAGACUCCUACGGGAGGCAGCAGUAGGGAAUCUUGCGCAAUGGGCGAAAGCCUGACGGAGCAACGCCGCGUGAGUGAUGAAGGUCUUCGGAUCGUAAAACUCUGUUAUUAGGGAAGAACAAAUGUGUAAGUAACUAUGCACGUCUUGACGGUACCUAAUCAGAAAGCCCCGGCUAACUACGUG